RNAcentral lists this ribosomal RNA (492 nucleotides) under uncultured bacterium. RNAcentral's name for it is "partial 16S ribosomal RNA". It matches the Rfam family "Bacterial small subunit ribosomal RNA", at positions 29 to 507 of the family's 1533-position model. The record is from RNAcentral.
AGUGAACGCUGGCGGUAGGCCUAACACAUGCAAGUCGAACGGCAGCACAGUAAGAGCUUGCUCUUACGGGUGGCGAGUGGCGGACGGGUGAGGAAUACAUCGGAAUCUACUUUUUCGUGGGGGAUAACGUAGGGAAACUUACGCUAAUACCGCAUACGACCUACGGGUGAAAGCAGGGGAUCUUCGGACCUUGCGCGAUCGAAUGAGCCGAUGUCGGAUUAGCCAGUUGGCGGGGUAAAGGCCCACCAAGGCGACGAUCCGUAGCUGGUCUGAGAGGAUGAUCAGCCACACUGGAACUGAGACACGGUCCAGACUCCUACGGGAGGCAGCAGUGGGGAAUAUUGGACAAUGGGCGCAAGCCUGAUCCAGCCAUACCGCGUGGGUGAAGAAGGCCUUCGGGUUGUAAAGCCCUUUUGUUGGGAAAGAAAAGCAGCAGGUUAAUACCCCGCUGUUCUGACGGUACCCAAAGAAUAAGCACCGGCUAACUUCGUG